GGGUGUGUAGUAUAGUUGGUUAUUGCGCCCGCUUCGCAUACCGAAGAUGCGGGAGGUCCGGCGUUCGACUCGCCGCACAUCCA
Mycena maculata is the source of this 83-nucleotide non-coding RNA. NCBI's taxonomy places the organism in Eukaryota, Fungi, Basidiomycota, Agaricomycetes, Agaricales, Mycenaceae. The record is from the annotation of a GenBank genome assembly.